UACAGAGGUCUCAAGCGUUGUUCGGAUUCAUUGGGCGUAAAGGGUGCGUAGGCGGCGCGGUAAGUCGGGUGUGAAAUUUCGAGGCUUAACUUCGAAACUGCAUUCGAUACUGCCGUGCUAGAGGACUGGAGAGGAGACUGGAAUUUACGGUGUAGCGUGAAAUGCGUAGAUAUCGUAAGGAAGACCAGUGGCGAAGGCGGGUCUCUGGACAGUUCCUGACGCUGAGGAGCGAAAGCUAGGGGAGCAAACGGG
This 252-nucleotide ribosomal RNA is filed under the name uncultured bacterium. Its description in RNAcentral is "partial 16S ribosomal RNA". It matches the Rfam family "Bacterial small subunit ribosomal RNA", at positions 524 to 776 of the family's 1533-position model. The record is from RNAcentral.